This 253-nucleotide unclassified non-coding RNA is filed under the name uncultured Caryophanaceae bacterium. Its description in RNAcentral is "uncultured Planococcaceae bacterium contains 16S-23S intergenic spacer region". It matches the Rfam family "Bacterial small subunit ribosomal RNA", at positions 524 to 776 of the family's 1533-position model. Lineage: Bacteria; Bacillati; Bacillota; Bacilli; Caryophanales; Caryophanaceae. The record is from RNAcentral.
UACGUAGGCGGCAAGCGUUGUCCGGAAUUAUUGGGCGUAAAGCGCGCGCAGGCGGUCCUUUACGUCUGAUGUGAAAGCCCACGGCUCAACCGUGGAGGGUCAUUGGAAACUGGGGGACUUGCGUGAAGAAGAGGAAAGUGGAAUUCCACGUGUAGUGGUGAAAUGCGUAGAGAUGUGGAGGAACACCAGUGGCGAAGGCGACUUUCUGGUCUGUAACUGACGCUGAGGCGAGAAAGCGUGGGGAGCAAACAGG